AUGGAGACUGCCAUAUCUGCAGUUGCUAGUGAACUCGUGAGCCAGUUUGUCUCCUUACUGAUGAACAAGUACUACUCCUUGAGCCAUGCCCAAUCAGAGGAGAAGGUGAUGCAAAGGUUGCAUCACCUCCUGAUGAGAGCUGGCACCAUCCUUGAGGAGGCAGACACACGAUACAUAACCAACUCCGGGAUGAUGAUGCAUCUCAAGACACUCUCAGAGGCCAUGUACCGAGGACACCGUGUGCUGGACUGCUUGAGGUACCAUGCCCUCCAACACAGUGCAGGCUUCGACAAGGUUAGCAUCAGUGACUCGUCUAGCAGCAGCUUGCAUUUAGCCAUUCCUUUCAAGCGUUCUCGAACAACAUCUGGGAAGGAUGACAAGGAAAUGCGCCUCGAGUCACAUGGUGCCUUGAAAAGCUUAGAAAUUGCUAUUGCUAAUAUGGCAGAGUUUAUUGUUCUUCUGGGUGGAUGCCAGCGCAUAUCCCGUAGGCCCUAUGAUGUUUAUCUUUACACCGACAAUUUCAUGUUUGGCCGACACACUGAAAAGCAAAAGCUCUUGAGCUUCUUGUUGGAGCACAACAACCCUCCUGGUGAUCAUGCACUUUCAGUUCUUCCGAUCAUAGGUGGUGCUGGAGUUGGAAAGAAAACCUUGGUUGCUCAUGUGUGUGGCGACCAAAGGGUUCGGUCACGCUUCUCCUCUAUUUUGCACUUGAAUGGACACAACCUCUUGACCAUAUUUGACCAUGGAAGGACCAUGUUUGGGACGAUGUUGGUAGUGAUUGAGUUUGCUUCUGAUGUAGGUGAGGAUGAAUGGAAAAGGUUUCACUCUUUUCUCAUAAGAAUGAGCACAGGAAGCAAGAUCAUCAUCAUAAGUAAACUUAAAAGGUUAACCCGGUUUGGAUCGGUACAGCCUAUUUUCCUAAAUGUUUUGUCUUAUGACGAGUUGAGGUACCUUUUUAAGACACUGGCAUUCGGGAGUGUAGACCCUACAGAACAUCCACGGUUAGUACAACUAGCAGAUGAAUUUUGCAACAUGUUGCAUAAUGUGCCAGCAGGUACACUUAUUGCAACAAAUAUGCUCACGGAUGUAUUGAGAAUGAACCUCAGUGUUCAAUUUUGGCAUUGCAUACUAGAGAAGGGACUAAGAUAUUUUAAGAGAAACUAUUCCACAUGUGGUGGGCGCCUAAGCAUGCUGACGGACCAAGCCCAUUUAGUGGACAUAACGGACUAUGCUUUGCAACCACUUAGCAUGAUAGCUUGUACUCCUAAUGUUUCAAUCAAGAAGGAAUUGCCAAGUCUAACAUUUGGGGAACUUAUAAGAGAUCCUAGUGUUAUCCCGAAACAAGACUUCAUUCUAAUUGCAUGGGAAUCAAGGAUACCGCCUCAUAAUUCAUUUCCUCAUUUGGUUACAAGUCAUGCUCAGGGUACACAUGAAGGUGGUGCCUUAACAGGGAGGAAGCGAAGAGGAGCGCCAAUCUAA
This 1479-nucleotide ribosomal RNA is filed under the name Triticum aestivum (bread wheat). RNAcentral describes it as "partial small subunit ribosomal RNA". Lineage: Eukaryota; Viridiplantae; Streptophyta; Magnoliopsida; Poales; Poaceae. The record is from RNAcentral.